Molecule: ribosomal RNA, 316 nt
Filed under: Neotamias panamintinus (Panamint chipmunk)
Lineage: Eukaryota; Metazoa; Chordata; Mammalia; Rodentia; Sciuridae
Description: partial 16S ribosomal RNA
Rfam family: Bacterial large subunit ribosomal RNA
Source: RNAcentral
AAGAGGCGGGAAUAAACUAAUAAGACGAGAAGACCCUAUGGAGCUUAAAUUUUAUAGUCUAGCACAAAAACAAUUAUUCCCAUGGGAUUACAAACUUAUUGCCUACAGACUAGAAAUUUUGGUUGGGGUGACCUCGGAGUACAAAACAACCUCCGAAUGAUUCUAAUCUAGACUAGACCCGUCUAAAUUAACACUCAUAAAUUGACCCAAAAUCUUGAUCAACGGAACAAGUUACCCUAGGGAUAACAGCGCAAUCCUACUCAAGAGUCCAUAUCGACAGUUAGGGUUUACGACCUCGAUGUUGGAUCAGGACAUC